Molecule: ribosomal RNA, 497 nt
Filed under: uncultured bacterium
Lineage: Bacteria
Description: partial 16S ribosomal RNA
Rfam family: Bacterial small subunit ribosomal RNA
Source: RNAcentral
GAUGAACGCUGGCGGCGUGCCUAAUACAUGCAAGUCGAGCGAACAGACGAGGAGCUUGCUCCUCUGACGUUAGCGGCGGACGGGUGUGUCACACGUGGAUACCCUCCCUAUAAGUCUGGUAAAACUUCGGGAAACCGGAGCUAAUACCGGAUAAUAUAUUGAACCGCAUGGUUCAAUAGUGAAAGACGGUUUUGCUGGCACUUAUAGAUGGAUCCCCGCCGCAUUGGCUGGUUGGUAAGGUAACGGGUUACCAAGGCAACUAGGCGUAGCCGACGUGAGAGGGUGAUCGCCCACACGGGAACUGAGACACGGUCCAUACUCCUACGGGAGGCAGCAGUAGGGAAUCUGCCGCAAUGGGCGAAAGCCUGGCGGAGCAACGCCGCGUGAGUGAUGAAGGUCUUCGGAUCGUAAAACUCUGUUAUGAGGGAAGAACAAAUGUGUAAGUAACUAUGCACGUCUUGACGGUACCUAAUCAGAAAGCCACGGCUAACUACGUG